RNAcentral lists this ribosomal RNA (289 nucleotides) under uncultured microorganism. RNAcentral's name for it is "partial 16S ribosomal RNA". It matches the Rfam family "Bacterial small subunit ribosomal RNA", at positions 505 to 795 of the family's 1533-position model. The record is from RNAcentral.
GUGCCAGCAGCCGCGGUAAUACGUAGGUCCCGAGCGUUGUCCGGAUUUAUUGGGCGUAAAGCGAGCGCAGGCGGUUAGAUAAGUCUGAAGUUAAAGGCUGUGGCUUAACCAUAGUACGCUUUGGAAACUGUUUAACUUGAGUGCAAGAGGGGAGAGUGGAAUUCCAUGUGUAGCGGUGAAAUGCGUAGAUAUAUGGAGGAACACCGGUGGCGAAAGCGGCUCUCUGGCUUGUAACUGACGCUGAGGCUCGAAAGCGGGGGAGCGAACCGAGAUUGAGACCCUGGAGUGC